AACCUUUAGCCAAACAAGUAUUAAAGGCAACGCCUGCCCGGUGAAUAAUUAAACGGCCGCGGUACCCUAACCGUGCAAAGGUAGCGUAAUCAUUUGUCUAUUAAUUGUAGACCCGUAUGAAAGGCAAAAUGAGGGCCUAACUGUCUCUUAUAAUAAAUCAAUUAAACUGAUCUCCCAGUUAAAAAGCUGGAAUAUUAACAUAAGACCAGAAGACCCUGUGAAGCUUAAACUAAACUAUUAAACCAAAUAAUAACUCCUUUCGGUUGGGGCGACCUUGGAAAAAAAAAUAACUUCCAAACAUAAUGAGACUUAAAUCAUUAACACAAGACUGACAAGCCAAACUAGACCCAGCAUAGCUGAUUAUUGAACCAAGUUACUCCAGGGAUAACAGCGCCAUCCUCUUCAAGAGCCCAUAUCAAAAAGAGGGUUUACGACCUCGAUGUUGGAUCAGGACAUCCUAAUGGUGCAGCCGCUAUUAAGGGUUCGUUUGUUCAACGAUUAACAGUCCC
RNAcentral lists this ribosomal RNA (509 nucleotides) under Atractaspis bibronii. RNAcentral describes it as "partial 16S ribosomal RNA". It matches the Rfam family "Bacterial large subunit ribosomal RNA", at positions 1816 to 2597 of the family's 2925-position model. The record is from RNAcentral. Lineage: Eukaryota; Metazoa; Chordata; Lepidosauria; Squamata; Atractaspididae.